CACCCUCCUAGUGAAAUAGUGUUUCCUAGUAGCCAACCUAGACCUCCCCCACUGCAACUUGAGACCAUUGCUUCUUGUUCUGUCAUCUGCCACCACUGAAAACAACCUAGCUCCAUCCUCUUCGCACUGGACCAAAAAAUAGCUGCAAACUGUCUACAAGGUCAGUUCAACUAUCCAACACGGCUUAUAUAAGACCAAAAAAAACCACUUUAAAACUGUGCAAUUGUUUCCACAGUGCAUGUACAAGUGAAAUUCUUAAGGAUGUAAUUUUGCUUCACUUACCAGAAAAGCCAGUGUAUAAAACCAAAGAGGCAUUUCUUCAUGAAUACUGAACAUUAUUUAGAAUCUGUAUAAGGCUGGUUUGUUGAGGACACUUAUGUUACAUGAUUUGCAAACUUCACUCCACUUCUCCUGCAAGGGCUGGUGCCACAAGUGUCUGUUUCAUAUGAAAGUCUGAUACCUUCUGGUUUAUAUUUAACAUUAAACUUUGUAGACGUUGUAUAUUUAAACUCUUCAAUGUCCCAGCUAUUUCAGAUUUUUUAGCUAUAUGUCACAUAAGCAAACACACUGUUUCCUAAUGAAGCUUAAAAGAAAUCCUGCCUAAAGAGUACUUGUAAGAUGGAUGAAGAGUAUCCUAUAAAUACUAGUUAAAAUAUUUUUUUCCCUAUAAAUGGUGAUUGUGCAGGAGUGGCAGCGUUUAGGUGGGGGAAAAGGUCAGUGUCCAGGCUUAAAACAGUUAUAAAAGUUGUAUUCAUAAGAAAAUGUUCUUCUCAUUAAAACUAAAAGCUUUCCAGAGUUUUGUAUUCUGGGAUAUUUCUAAAAUAUUUCUGAUUAAAUCAGUGCUUUAUGUUAAAGAUGCCCCAGCGUGGAAUGAAAACAGCCCUUGAAGAUUUUCUGAGGGAAAGGGGUGAGGUCAGAGGAAAAGACGGACAUCUCAGCAAUCACACCUUAGGGAAUCUCUUCAGGUAGUGGGAAGGGCUGGGUCACCUAAAGUUGAACAUUCAAUUUGUAUAUAAGGAGUCCCAUGGAAGUCAGUGGGCAGCUUGUAUGUGUAAAGUAAAUUCCCACUUCCUGGGGG
Chrysemys picta bellii (western painted turtle) is the source of this 1078-nucleotide non-coding RNA. The record is from RefSeq and is a predicted model, not a curated record. Lineage: Eukaryota; Metazoa; Chordata; Testudines; Emydidae.